GUCAAGCAAGGUACGGGUGUCAAGCAAGGUACGCGUGUCAAGCAAGGUACGGGUGUCAUGCAAGGAACGGGUGUCAUGCAAGGUAAGGGUGUCAAGCAAGGUACGGGUGUUAGGCAAGUAAGGUACGGGAGUCAAGCAAGGUGCGGGUGUCAAACAAGGUACGGGUGUCAAGCGAGGUACGUGUGUCAAGCAAGGUACGGGUGUUAGGCAAGGUACGUGUGUCAAGCAAGGUACGGGUGUCAAGCGAGGUACGGGUGUCAAGCAAGGUACGGGUGUUAGGCAAGGUACGGGUGUCAAGCAAGGUACGUGUGUCAAGCAAGGUACGUGUGUUAGGCAAGGUACGUGUGUCAAGCAAGGUACGGGUGUUA
Haliotis rubra (blacklip abalone) is the source of this 368-nucleotide long non-coding RNA. RefSeq lists it as uncharacterized. NCBI's taxonomy places the organism in Eukaryota, Metazoa, Mollusca, Gastropoda, Lepetellida, Haliotidae. The transcript is spliced from 3 exons. The record is from RefSeq and is a predicted model, not a curated record.